This 234-nucleotide ribosomal RNA is filed under the name uncultured Glomus. Its description in RNAcentral is "partial 18S ribosomal RNA". It matches the Rfam family "Eukaryotic small subunit ribosomal RNA", at positions 548 to 785 of the family's 1831-position model. Lineage: Eukaryota; Fungi; Glomeromycota; Glomeromycetes; Glomerales; Glomeraceae. The record is from RNAcentral.
UUGGAGGGCAAGUCUGGUGCCAGCAGCCGCGGUAAUUCCAGCUCCAAUAGCGUAUAUUAAAGUUGUUGCAGUUAAAAAGCUCGUAGUUGAAUUUCGGGACCAAUUUGUUGGUCGUGCCUCGGUACGUACUGGUAUUAUUGGUUUCUCCCUUCUGAAGAACCUCGAUGCCAUUAAUUUGGUGUCGUGGGGAAUCAGGACUGUUACUUUGAAAAAAUUAGAGUGUUUAAAGCAGGC